Molecule: ribosomal RNA, 474 nt
Filed under: uncultured bacterium
Lineage: Bacteria
Description: bacterial SSU rRNA
Rfam family: Bacterial small subunit ribosomal RNA
Source: RNAcentral
ACUCCUACGGGAGGGCAGCAGUAGGGAAUCUUCCACAAUGGGCGCAAGCCUGAUGGAGCAACACCGCGUGAGUGAAGAAGGGUUUCGGCUCGUAAAGCUCUGUUGUUAAAGAAGAACACGUAUGAGAGUAACUGUUCAUACGUUGACGGUAUUUAACCAGAAAGUCACGGCUAACUACGUGCCAGCAGCCGCGGUAAUACGUAGGUGGCAAGCGUUAUCCGGAUUUAUUGGGCGUAAAGAGAGUGCAGGCGGUUUUCUAAGUCUGAUGUGAAAGCCUUCGGCUUAACCGGAGAAGUGCAUCGGAAACUGGAUAACUUGAGUGCAGAAGAGGGUAGUGGAACUCCAUGUGUAGCAGUGGAAUGCGUAGAUAUAUGGAAGAACACCAGUGGCGAAGGCGGCUACCUGGUCUGCAACUGACGCUGAGACUCGAAAGCAUGGGUAGCGAACAGGAUUAGAUACCCUGGUAGGAUAGCG